RNAcentral lists this long non-coding RNA (624 nucleotides) under Brassica napus (rape). RNAcentral's name for it is "long non-coding RNA (BNAP_LNC023754)". Lineage: Eukaryota; Viridiplantae; Streptophyta; Magnoliopsida; Brassicales; Brassicaceae. The record is from RNAcentral.
UUAGGGUUUAGUGAUUAGGGUUUAGGUUUUAGUAUUUAGAAGGUGAGGGGGUAUUGUUGGGGUUAGCAUUAACUUAUUCCAUAGAAUCAUAGACAUUUCAUAAUUUCAUCAAUAUAUACUAUGUUAUUUAUUUUGUUCCAUUCUAUUUGGGUUUAGGGUUUAUACGUGGGUUUAUGGUUUAUAUUUUGGUUUAAAGUUUAUAUUUGGGUUUAUGGCUUAUAUUUGGGUUUAGGGUUUAUUGAUUAGGGUUUUAGGUUUAGUAUUUAGGGAUUGGGAUAAAUUUUAGUACAUAGAAAUUAGAUUCAUAUACUACUUGAGUGAUAUGGAAUACACUCUUUAUUAAAAAAGUUUCUAUUUAUACGAGAUAAAAAGUGUUUGACGUAGUUGACUUACAUGAGGUGAAAUAAUGGUGCUUCACUCUUAUCCAUAAAACCAAGUGACGACGUCAUGCACUCUCUCUUUCUUUUAUCGGAGACUUGCUAGUGAAAAGGAUAUAACCGGAUAAAAUAUGAGACAAAAGCUAGUUACUUAAUAAUGUCAAAAUCAAUGCUAUUUUUUUUAUUUUCAUUCAGAAUUUGGCUACUGAGCAAAUUCUAAUUGCAUUGUAUAGCGUACAAAAAAAUU